Molecule: ribosomal RNA, 339 nt
Filed under: uncultured Pseudomonadota bacterium
Lineage: Bacteria; Pseudomonadati; Pseudomonadota
Description: bacterial SSU rRNA
Rfam family: Bacterial small subunit ribosomal RNA
Source: RNAcentral
AACUAACGCUAGCGGCGUGCCUAACACAUGCAAGUCGUACGAGAAAGUUGGCUUCGGCCGAUGAGUAAAGUGGCGCACGGGUGAGUAACGCGUGGAUAAUCUACCCUUAAGUUUGGAAUAACGUACCGAAAGGUGCGCUAAUACCGGAUAACACUGAGCAACUACUGUUGUUUAGUCAAAGAAGGCUUCUGUUUACAUGCUUUUGCUUUGGGAUGAGUCCGCGUACCAUUAGCUAGUUGGUAGGGUAAUGGCCUACCAAGGCGAUGAUGGGUAGCCGGCCUGAGAGGGUGAUCGGCCACACUGGAACUGAGACACGGUCCAGACUCCUACGGGAGGCAG